ACGGCUCCGGUUCACGCCCUCCAUCCGGACGGCGACCCGGCGGCC
Molecule: regulatory RNA element, 45 nt
Organism: Frankia alni
Lineage: Bacteria; Bacillati; Actinomycetota; Actinomycetes; Frankiales; Frankiaceae
Rfam family: L31-Actinobacteria ribosomal protein leader
Source: Rfam